This 269-nucleotide long non-coding RNA is filed under the name Sorghum bicolor (sorghum). RNAcentral describes it as "long non-coding RNA (SBIC_LNC001493)". The record is from RNAcentral. Lineage: Eukaryota; Viridiplantae; Streptophyta; Magnoliopsida; Poales; Poaceae.
GGCCUUAAACUUUUUUUUUUUUGCAAAGGCAGCAUAGAUGUAAGCAAUGAUAUCCGCUUUUUGGCUGUUGUUCACCUAGAUAGACUAUGAGUAGGUUUUGUAAGGCAUACUUGACUGAUGACAUCACAAAGUAAGAGAAAUUCAGUGAGUUCUUAAGGCUUCACCAACACUCCAAUAGCCUCUUAAGACCAUGUAGGAUGGGAGGAUCGAACUCCAAUUGAAGAAGAGAGAAGAUACAAAUCAACAGUGUUAAAGAAAAAUAGUGUCAG